UUAGACUGAAGUCCGGCGGUCGUGCGAUUCGAAGCGUUAUCCCUCGAUGUCGAUUGUGUCCUGCCAUUUUCGAGCGUUUGUCGUGCAUUUCAUCGAAUGUCAAAGGUGACAUCUGCAGUUCGUGUUGGUACUAGUAGGCUACGCAAUUGGAUGACAGUUCAUUUUUUUUUUCAAAGUCCACCACGAAAAGGUUAUUUUAUAAUUUUAAAUUAGAAAUAAUUAAAACAAAAAGCAUUGUUUGUGCAGAUUCCGAUGCGUCAAUCCGGAAGGCGUGCUGUUGAGCGAUGGGCUCGAUGCUCAAAUACAAAGCCAGCGGUUUCAAAUUCAGGGACUUUCUGAACCAGGAAAACGGUAAAAUGCAAGAGGAAUUUAAAUUUCCAAGCAACUCAUCAAACUUCCAUCAUCCAACAUCCAAAAAGUUUUUGGCACCUCGGAUUACCAACUUUUUCAAGAACUUUUUCUUGCAGUAUGGCCAAGAUUGUGGAUUAUUUGUUGUAAAAACAGGAUAAUAAAAAUGUAUUGAUCAA
Long non-coding RNA from Culex pipiens pallens (northern house mosquito), 527 nucleotides. RefSeq lists it as uncharacterized. The transcript is spliced from 2 exons. The record is from RefSeq and is a predicted model, not a curated record. Lineage: Eukaryota; Metazoa; Arthropoda; Insecta; Diptera; Culicidae.